AUGCACACUCACGUGGGGUAGUCAUGGCCCGAAUUGUUAAGCAGCUUGUGGAGCUCCCUUGUUAACCCCUAAAGUCGGUAUACAAGCAUGCAUUCAAGAAUGACUCCGGACCUUGGGAAAUCAAGUUGUGCUCGGGAAUUGAAAUCGCUCUUCCAAGGAUCUGGACAAUGCUCCACUGGUGUGAGUCACCAACGGAUCUAUCACCCCACUGGAUUAAUUGAACUGCAGAUGGACUUGGCAGGAGCAGAAGAUGGAGCCGUCCAUGGUGAUGAAAUCAGAGCUUUUUCACACACACGCCUUUCCACUGGCAACCUUGAAGCAAUAACAAAGUUGACACCGGUGUGCUGACAUCUUCAUUUCCCAAGUGACUACAUGAAAUAACCUUCGAGGAAAAAUAUAUGUUUGAAUCCAUACAUUUUAUUCUUUACAAUCAAGCAAGGUCUGAGGGAUGACUUAUUCUAUACCCCCAAUGUAUUACACUAACUACAAUAUUUAGAAUUACUAACCCACGAAUUAAAGUAAUGAUUAAAAUUAUUUUGGUGUUCAAUAGAUGACACUUAAAAAAUAUAGUUAUUGAGGUCCAACUUCACUAUUAGUCCAGUGGAUGUUCUGAAAGAUACUUUGUCCUAUAACAAUGUCAGAUUUUGCGAGCUUUAGUCUCUGUGUAUUACACUUAACACUAGCAUGUUGCUACACCUUCUAGAUGUCUCAAGAGGAAGACAACAGUGGUUCAUGGAGAGGAAAGGCUGAGGUUGUGACUAUUUAUGACAUCUUUCUUGGUGCAUUAUCUUCACAGUAAAUCUCCUUGGGGUAGAUGGAGUGUGUAGAGCAAGCACUUCCACCCGCUAACUCCUAACAUGUAACCAGACAUUGCUUUUAGGGCCCGGCUGUUAACAGGGUUGACAAUACUCUUUUAUAGCCUUCAGAUUGAAUAUUCCCUGAGUUCGCCUCAGUGCAGGCCAUGUCAUUACAACUGAUAGCUCCAGUAUCCACUGGGAUAGGCUGCAAGGCUUUCUGUUUUGUGUUUUUCCUUUCAGUUUAUGGCUUUCACUUUGCUUUUGUGUCUAAGAAAUUUGACUUUAGAAGACAUACCAUUGGAUCCUAAAGUAUAGUUUACAUUGAUUAUUGCAGUUUAUGGAUUUGCAAAUGUUUUAAGAUAUAGCUAUAGUAAGAUUGCACUGUGAGUAUGCUUGAAAUGUAGAAUAUGUUUCAUAAUGAAUGGAAAUAAAUGCUGGAUCUAAACAAAUAAA
This is a long non-coding RNA of Hypomesus transpacificus, 1250 nucleotides long. RefSeq lists it as uncharacterized. NCBI's taxonomy places the organism in Eukaryota, Metazoa, Chordata, Actinopteri, Osmeriformes, Osmeridae. The record is from RefSeq and is a predicted model, not a curated record. The transcript has 4 exons.